GAUGAACGCUGGCGGCGUGCCUAAUACAUGCAAGUCGAGCGAACGGACGAGAAGCUUGCUUCUCUGAUGUUAGCGGCGGACGGGUGAGUAACACGUGGAUAACCGACCUAUAAGACUGGGAUAACUUCGGGAAACCGUAGCUAAUACCGGAUAAUAUUUUGAACCGCAUGGUUCAAAAGUGAAAGACGGUCUUGCUGUCACUUAUAGAUGGAUCCGCGCUGCAUUAGCUAGUUGGUAAGGUAACGGCUUACCAAGGCAACGAUGCAUAGCCGACCUGAGAGGGUGAUCGGCCACACUGGGACUGAGACACGGUCCAGACUCCUACGGGAGGCAGCAGUAGGGAAUCUUCGACAAUGGGCGAAAGCCUGACGGAGCAACGCCGCGUGAGUGAUGAAGGUCUUCGGAUCGUAAAACUCUGUUAUUAGGGAAGAACAUAUGUGUAAGUAACUGUGCACAUCUUGACGGUACCUAAUCAGAAAGCAACGGCUAACUACGUG
Molecule: ribosomal RNA, 497 nt
Filed under: uncultured bacterium
Lineage: Bacteria
Description: partial 16S ribosomal RNA
Rfam family: Bacterial small subunit ribosomal RNA
Source: RNAcentral